Molecule: long non-coding RNA, 639 nt
Filed under: Gallus gallus (chicken)
Lineage: Eukaryota; Metazoa; Chordata; Aves; Galliformes; Phasianidae
Description: long non-coding RNA NONGGAT006513
Source: RNAcentral
GGGGAUGCUCUACCCUCCCCGUGCCAUUGUGAGGUAGCAGCUGUGCACCUCCUGACUAGGCCCCACGUCAUGUCACAGUCAUUGUGGUUUCACAGAACUGAGAGGUGCAGUAGCACCUCACAGCUCUUGUGUGGUUUCCCUCUCACAUGGGACACAGGACAGAGCCAGCAUGCGGCAAGAGGGGAGUCUGGACAAAGGCUGGUCAUAAAUUACCAAGUGUGUGGAGACACUGCGCUGAAUCACCUCACUUGGUAUGUUCCAGAGAGCUUAUUGUCAUCAUUUCGCUCUAUGGAUUCCAUCUCGCCUGGAACAAGAAAUAACCUCAGGCUUAUCCAGUAGGUGAAGGGAUGGCAUCAUGGUUGCCAAAUGAGAGCAGCCUAAAACUGCUGAUUGGUGAUAACAGCAAGACAAGAGGCUUCAGAUCUGCAGUGACACCUGCAAGCAGUAUUAACAGAGUGAACAUGCUGGAGGGACCCAAAAGUCUUUUUGCAGUUCCCAGACACCUUAGAGAAGGGGAGAAGAUGGAGGGCUCUUCCCUAGUCAGGCUCAGCACCAGCCGGCACAGCUGCUUGUAGGUAUGGGGGCAGAGAGGUGCUCCCAUUCAAAAGGCCUUGACCUUCUGGGAUAUUACACUCCUGC